GAUGAGGCCGAUUGGAGCGGGUGAUCUUUGCAAUGGGCUCUAUGUGUACCAGCCUGAAUCUUCUCUCGCUUUAGCUAUCCAAUCUACUGUCAAUAAGAACUUAUGGCAUCAACUUCUAGGUUAUCAUUCCCAUUUUAUUAUUCACAGUCUUUUUAAUUCUCCAUGCAUUCUCUCUGAUUGUGAUGUUUGUUCUCAAUCUAAGCACACCCAAUUACUUUUUUCUAUUAAUGCAAAUAAAAAUGUUUCUCAUUUUAAUCGCAUUUUUUUGUGAUAUUUGGGGUGGCUAAUCAUAAUUCUUCUCUGAGUGGGGCUCAAUAUUUCCUCGCCAUUGUUGAUGAUUUUUCACGCUACUUGGAUCUACCUGAUGCGUUUUAAUUCUAAAACUUUUACUAAUUUAAUGCAUUUUUUUGCUCUUGUCCAAAAUCAAUUUAAUACUACUGUUAAAAUUAUUCGUACUGAUAAUGGACAAGAAUUUAUUUCUCAUCAAUUUUAAACUUAUCUUCAAAAUUAUGGCAUCAUUCAUGAACGUACAUGUAUUGAAACUCCACAACAAAAUGGCGUUGCAGAAUGUAAACAUGGGCACCUUUUAAAUGUCGCCUAUAGUCUUUGUUUCCAAGCACAUCUCCCUUUAAAAUUUUGGGGAGAUUGUGUCCUCACUGCUGCAUAUCUCAUUAAUCGUACCCCCAGUCGCAUUCUCCAUAAUAAGUCACCUUUUGAAAUUCUUUUCAAUAAAACAUCCAGAUAUGAUAAUCUUCGCGUAUUCGGAUGUCUUUGCUAUGCACAAACCCUUAGUGCUCACCGCGACAAAUUUUCCCCCCAUGCUACUAAAUGUGUUUUUCUUGACCAUCCCAGCACUCAUAAAACUUACAAACUCUAUAAUCUCGACACUCAUUCCAUUUUUUAUUCUCGUGAUGUCACCUUCCAUGAACACCACUUCUCUUUCCAACAUAUUCCUGCUUCUAGGAAUCUGUCUAAUUUGUAUAAUUAGUUUACUUAUCUUUGAUACAUGUUUCCGUACUUAGUCUAAUCCUUAUAAUUAGUUCCAUAAUUUUUGUAAUUAGAAAAUCAUUCCCUUACAUACAAAGUUUCCAUACAAAGUUAGUCUUCUGUGGUUAUAUAUAUGUAACGUUCCUCAUUAUAAAAAUCAAUUAUGUGAAUGAAAGUUUGAAUAUUUCUCAAUUUUAACAGCAAUCAAGCUUAACUGCUGCGAUUGCGAUGUUGUUAGACUUGGUGGAAGAACUGUAUUUGUUCUUGGCCACAUAUCUUGAUGUACCAAGAAUUCUACUCGAAUCCUUAAUGCCUUCAUAGUGGUUGCAUUUAUUCCUAUUUAUAUCAAGUUGCCUUAUAUCUUUUGUAUUUUUGUUUUCAUCAGAUAGUUUUGUGUGGUGAAAUUAAAAAAUGAGUUAUGUUAGCUGCCUGAUAGAGCGAAAAAAGACUCGAUGCUACUUUAUCACAUAAAAGUUUGGGAAUGACAAUGAACUCCGGAAGCUGGAAUGAACUGCCAGCAAUGCUUAAGAGCCGCAAGAGAAAUUGUGAUGUUGUUUUAGUUUUUUUUGUUUUGUUUUUGCUUUUCCAUAUUUCUUUUGAGAAAUGCUAGUCACAAAGUGAUUAUAUAAAAGUAAUCUCACAAAGUGAUAUAGUUUGAUGUGGUUUGUUAGAUUGUAGAAUUACUUUUAUUGUAAAGCAGAUUCGACGGAUUACAUGAAAUCACGUCAGUUUGUGAGAUUACUUUUAUGUAAUCACUUUGUGACUGUAGCACUACUCAUUUCUUUUUGUAUGUGAAUUUGCAUUAGCUUGGAAUCGUUUAGGAAAAAAAGGCCAUUUGUUCGUCA
Molecule: long non-coding RNA, 1832 nt
Organism: Juglans microcarpa x Juglans regia
Lineage: Eukaryota; Viridiplantae; Streptophyta; Magnoliopsida; Fagales; Juglandaceae
Exons: 2
Source: RefSeq, a predicted model, not a curated record